This 449-nucleotide ribosomal RNA is filed under the name uncultured bacterium. RNAcentral describes it as "partial 16S ribosomal RNA". It matches the Rfam family "Bacterial small subunit ribosomal RNA", at positions 29 to 523 of the family's 1533-position model. The record is from RNAcentral.
AACGAACGCUGGCGGCAUGCCUAACACAUGCAAGUCGAACGAUAUCUUCGGGUCUAGUGGCGCACGGGUGCGUAACGCGUGGGAAUCUGCCCUUUGGUUCGGAAUAACAGUUGGAAACGACUGCUAAUACCGGAUGAUGACGAAAGUCCAAGGAUUUAUCGCCAGAGGAUGAGCCCGCGUAGGAUUAGCUAGUUGGGGUGGUAAAGGCGCACCAAGGCGACGAUCCUUAGCUGGUCUGAGAGGAUGAUCAGCCACACUUGGACUGAGACACGGCCCAAACUCGGACGGGAGGCAGGAGUGGGGAAUAUUGGACAAUGGGCGAUAGCCUGAUCCAUCAAUGCCGCGUGAGUGAUGAAGGCCUUAGGGUUGUAAAGCUCUCUCAGUGGGGAAGAUAAUGACUGAGCCCACAGAAGAAGCCCCGGCUAACUCCUUGCCAGCCGCCGCAGUAA